GUAUGAUGGCCACACGAGGGCUUUACUGUCUCUUACUUCCAAUCCGUGAAAUUGACCUUCCCGUGAAGAGGCGGGAAUAUAACAAUAAGACGAGAAGACCCUAUGGAGCUUUAAUUAACCGACCCAAAGAGACCCCACUAAUUAACCGACAGGAACAACAAAUCUCUACAUGGGCCGACAAUUUAGGUUGGGGUGACCUCGGAGAAUAAAACAACCUCCGAGUGAUUUAAAUCUAGACUAACCAGUCGAAAGUAUUACAUCACUUAUUGAUCCAAAAACUUGAUCAACGGAACAAGUUACCCUAGGGAUAACAGCGCAAUCCUAUUUUAGAGUCCAUAUCGACAAUAGGGUUUACGACCUCGUUG
Molecule: ribosomal RNA, 365 nt
Filed under: Leopardus wiedii (margay)
Lineage: Eukaryota; Metazoa; Chordata; Mammalia; Carnivora; Felidae
Description: partial large subunit ribosomal RNA
Rfam family: Bacterial large subunit ribosomal RNA
Source: RNAcentral